This 75-nucleotide transfer RNA is filed under the name Deltaproteobacteria bacterium. RNAcentral's name for it is "tRNA-Glu". It matches the Rfam family "tRNA". Rfam says of the family: Transfer RNA (tRNA) molecules are approximately 80 nucleotides in length. Their secondary structure includes four short double-helical elements and three loops (D, anti-codon, and T loops). RNAcentral also lists the same sequence under 1 other name. The record is from RNAcentral. Lineage: Bacteria; Pseudomonadati; Myxococcota; Myxococcia.
GGCCCCAUCGUCUAGUGGUUAGGACAUCGGCCUCUCACGCCGGUAACGUGGAUUCGACUUCCACUGGGGUCACCA